GUGUAUGGCUUGGCCUGUCAGUGUGUCAGAUUCACCAACGUGAGAGUCUGUUGCCACCACCUCUCUCUGGUUUGUUCCUGCUACUUUAUUGCUCUUCUCUCUUCUCUCUUUCCUUUUUUUAUUUUUCAGAUCUGCUCCUGAAUUUCAGAUCUUCAUGUUCUGGUCCACUCUAAGCAGAAAGCCACAUAGUCUUUUGUGGCCUGCACUGAAAUUAUUCCUCUUUCUGGGUGUGACUUUGCUAAUCCAGUUUUGGCAAUUCGUGAUUUCUAUCUGUCAGCUUAAAUCAAAGGAUUACACGCGAAACUCCCCGGUGUAUUUUGCAGAAAGCUUCCUCCUUGUACCCAUUAAGUCGGAGAGAACUGGUUGUUCCAUCUGUCCGUUCUUUGUUCAGGACUUUUCUCUCUUCCUGCGUCAGCAUCAAGGGCGUCCACACAAGACAAAUUUCCAUUUGACUCUCCAGCAGUCCUCCCUCCCUCCC
Gasterosteus aculeatus aculeatus (three-spined stickleback) is the source of this 478-nucleotide non-coding RNA. The record is from RefSeq and is a predicted model, not a curated record. Lineage: Eukaryota; Metazoa; Chordata; Actinopteri; Perciformes; Gasterosteidae.